This 1265-nucleotide long non-coding RNA is filed under the name Heterocephalus glaber (naked mole-rat). Its description in RNAcentral is "lncRNA (ENSHGLG00000028922.2)". Lineage: Eukaryota; Metazoa; Chordata; Mammalia; Rodentia; Bathyergidae. The record is from RNAcentral.
UGCCUGCAGUUUAAAGGGCAAGUUAGCCAAGCGGACUUCAGAGGCACAGAAGACGGCAAGGUCCCUCUCUAGGGAGCUUUUCUACCCACCAUGGCUGUGCUCUGAACGUUUCACACACUUCCUCCUCUCAGCCCCGCCGGGCGUACUGCUCCACUCAGAGCUGAGGCCCCCGAGACCCUCAGGCGCGAGUGACACUGCCGGGCCCGUGCCGGGAGCUGGUGGGAGGUAGAUGUGAGAUAAAGUGAGGAGCACCUGACUUCAAGGUCAAAUAAGUUACGCUUGGUAAUAAUUGGAGAUGAGGGGUUGGGGAGAGGAAAGCCAGGAGGCUCUAACAGCCCUGGCUAAGCGACCAGUGACGGAGGGCGACAGAUCCAUGGUGAGGAGCUCAGAGGGAGGGACAAGAAUAGAAGCAGAGGAGACACCAUGGUGGCCUUAAGCAGGUGUUGGCAGUGGUCACAGCAAGGAUGGCAAGAAGUGUUCAGACCUGAAAUAUACUUUGGAGACAGAGGCUAGAGGCCUGGAGGCACAGCUGUACUCAGUGGAGCAAGACUGUUCAUCCUUCCAGGAGGUCACCUGAAGCUCAGCCAGGAUGGCAUGCUCUGCCCUGCAAACUCCGCAGAAGGAGCCCAUCUCUGGCCCCGCUCCUGUGACUAUGAGGAGUCUCCGCUGCCAGGCUUCCACCCUAAAAAGCAGCAUUGAUGACACAGACACCGGGGACCCUGGAACCAGGAGGGCAGAGGCUGCUGAGCCAACUGUGUCACUGGGGCCCUGAAUGUGUGGGGUUGAGCUUGACAGGCCAGGUCCCCACGCACGUAAUGAGAUGGUAGGAGAGCUGAGGAGUGGCGCACCCCCUCCCAGCAGGGAAGACACAGCCUGAACCCCGAGAUGCAGACAGGGAGGGGCCGCCUAGGGGAGGCCACGGCCCAGUGGGUUUCCUGCGAUGGUGCCCUUCUCCUGUCCUUCAUUCAGACUGCACACGUUAUCUUACUGUAAUAAAUACAUCCUGUCUGGCAACACAACCUGGAUUACCUACUGAAGAAGCCAAUGAAAAAUGGCCAGGAUCUUUCUAGGGUUUCCCCUUCUGCAUAGCACAAGAUUCAUCAGCCCCUCUCACGACUGUGUGGCCAAAGGCAAGUCCGACUGCACUGGUGUGAACCCUGCAGGCCAGGUGCCCGUGGGGACACGAGAGAAGCAGUGCCCAGGGGUGUGGGCAGGAGCCACCAAGCACAGUGCUCUGGGGAUGGGCGCACACAGGGAGAAGACAC